This 490-nucleotide ribosomal RNA is filed under the name uncultured bacterium. Its description in RNAcentral is "partial 16S ribosomal RNA". It matches the Rfam family "Bacterial small subunit ribosomal RNA", at positions 30 to 507 of the family's 1533-position model. The record is from RNAcentral.
AUUGAACGCUGGCGGCAGGCCUAACACAUGCAAGUCGAACGGUAACAGGAAGAAGCUUGCUUCUUUGCUGACGAGUGGCGGACGGGUGAGUAAUGUCUGGGAAACUGCCUGAUGGAGGGGGAUAACUACUGGAAACGGUAGCUAAUACCGCAUAACGUCUCAAGACCAAAGAGGGGGACCUUCGUGCCUCGUGCCAUCGUAGGUGCCCAGGUGGGCUUAGUUAGUAGGUGGGGUAAGGACUCACCUAGGCGACGAGCCCUAGAUGGUCUGAGAGGGUGAGCGGCCGCACUGGAACGUGGACAGGGUCCAGACUCCUGCGGGAGGCAGCAGUGGGGAAUAUUGCGCAAUGGUCGCAAGCAUGAUGCAGCCAUGCCGCGUGUAUGAAGAAGGCCUUCGGGUUGUAAAGUACGUUCAGCGGGGAGGAAGGGAGUAAGGUUAAUACCUUUGCUCAUUGACGUUACCCGCAGAAGAAGCACCGGCUAACUACGUG